AUCUGGGCGGCGGAAUUCAAGACGGCUGGCGGGUCUCGCGCUCGUUCGGCCGUUUGAUAUUUCCGUCGCCGUGUCAGACGUCGCGACCUGUUUGUCGUCGGUCCUUGCUCGGAGGAAUUGCGAUCGAGUUCGUUGCGGGCGCGUUUCGGCGUGCUUCGCGGCGAAGACGCGACUCUCUGGCCGACGACGGACAGUAAGCAACGGUGUCUGGCGCCGUGUCUCGCACUCGGCGUCGGUGCCGGUCAGCGACGAUUUCUUCGGGCCUCUUUCCGACCCGUCUUGAAACACGGACCAAGGAGUCUAACAUGCGCGCGAGUCGCGGGGUUUCGAGCGUACCACGGUGCGCUCGUUACUUCCGAAACCCGUACGUUGAAGGCGUAAUGAAAGUGAAUAGGGAAGAUGGCGUUCCGAGACCACGUACCGUGAUCGAGUAUCGCGGCCGGACGUCCGCACUCCCGGGGCGUCUCAAUGGUUCGCCACGGAUGCGGACGAUCGUCUUUCGGGGCGGUGGUCGGUCUGUGGCGGUCCGA
RNAcentral lists this ribosomal RNA (530 nucleotides) under Chionaspis ortholobis. RNAcentral describes it as "eukaryotic LSU rRNA". Lineage: Eukaryota; Metazoa; Arthropoda; Insecta; Hemiptera; Diaspididae. The record is from RNAcentral. RNAcentral also lists the same sequence under 1 other name.